RNAcentral lists this ribosomal RNA (218 nucleotides) under Campeiostachys nutans. RNAcentral's name for it is "Elymus nutans partial small subunit ribosomal RNA". The record is from RNAcentral. Lineage: Eukaryota; Viridiplantae; Streptophyta; Magnoliopsida; Poales; Poaceae.
GGGUCUACCCAUUGGUCAGGCUUAAUUGUCUGUACUGGUGGGAUGGAUCUCUGCCUUCUGAGGAACUUUCAUGCCAUUUAUUUGGUGUGGUUGGAAAUCAGGACUGUUACUUUGAAAAAAUUAGAGUGUUUAGAGCAGACUAUCGUCUGAAUACAUUAGCAUGGAAUAAUGAAAUAGGACGGACUGAUUCUAUUUCGCUGGUUUCUAGGAUCACCGUA